UGAGGGAAGCUCUUCAGUGGGGCUACAAACUGAGUGCGUCCCUGCCACUCUUCUAUGGACGGCCCUUGGGAAGGUCUGAGACGAGGGCCAAUAGCGGCCCUAGCAGGGCCCUCCCUGAGCUCCAGGGAGGUGAGUUCCCAGAGUGAGGGCAGACUGGGCAGGAGUUUCAUAGCCCUCCCUGUAAGCCUCUUUUUGGCCACUUUCCAGCACUCUGGAAAAACAGCCUGGGGAUUUGGGUUUUAUAUCCACUUCUACCUCA
Heterocephalus glaber (naked mole-rat) is the source of this 259-nucleotide ribozyme. It matches the Rfam family "Nuclear RNase P". Rfam says of the family: Ribonuclease P (RNase P) is a ubiquitous endoribonuclease, found in archaea, bacteria and eukarya as well as chloroplasts and mitochondria. Its best characterised activity is the generation of mature 5'-ends of tRNAs by cleaving the 5'-leader elements of precursor-tRNAs. Lineage: Eukaryota; Metazoa; Chordata; Mammalia; Rodentia; Bathyergidae. The record is from Ensembl.